UCACCUGUCAGUGGACGCUUAGGUUGCUUCCAUAUCUUGGCUAUUGUGGUUAAUGCUGCAGUAAACAUAGGAUUACAGAUACUUCUUUGCUCUCAUGAUUUCAUUUCUUUGUAUAUGUGCUCAGAAGUAAGAUAGCUGCAUCAUCUGGCAAUUCCAUUAAAAAAUGUUUUUUUGAUUAACCUUUAUACUGCUUUCCAUAGUGGCUACACCAUCUAUAUUCCAGUAAGCAAUGACACAGGGUUCCAGUUUUUCCACAUCCAGGCCAAUACUUGUUUUUUUUUUUUUUAAUUUUCCAUUUUUUGGUAAUAGGUAUUGUAACAGGUAUGGGGUGGUGUUUCAUUUUGGUUUUGAUUUGCAUCUCCCUUAGGUUCAGGGAUCUGUAUUAUGGACUUAAAAUUUGUGAAGUUUUCCCUUUGUUAAGUGUUCUUUACCACCUCCAUGUUACGAUCUCAUGUUAAAUGUUCUUAAACACCGUCUACCCCACUCCACUUACCAAACAAAGGGAAACUUUUGGACAUGAAAGAUGUGUCUGUUCCUGUGAUUGCGGGGAUGGUUUCACAGGCAUCUGCAUAUGCCCAAGCUCAUCAAAUUGUCUACGUUAAAUAUGUGCAGUGUUCUCUAUGUACACUAUACCUCUGUAAAACCAGAAAUCCUGGCCAACAUGGUGAAACCCC
This is a long non-coding RNA of Sapajus apella (tufted capuchin), 674 nucleotides long. RefSeq lists it as uncharacterized. The record is from RefSeq and is a predicted model, not a curated record. Lineage: Eukaryota; Metazoa; Chordata; Mammalia; Primates; Cebidae. The transcript is spliced from 3 exons.